Long non-coding RNA from Haliotis rubra (blacklip abalone), 3856 nucleotides. RefSeq lists it as uncharacterized. The transcript has 2 exons. Lineage: Eukaryota; Metazoa; Mollusca; Gastropoda; Lepetellida; Haliotidae. The record is from RefSeq and is a predicted model, not a curated record.
AGGUUUAUGGUUACUCAUGUAUCAGGUGCAUAAGUUUAGAUUAAAGUGGCUGUUUGCCUAAAGAGGAGUUACCAUAGCACUAUUUAUCCAGUUUUGAAUGGAUACAAUUUCAAAUUAUAAAUCUGUUUAAUUAAAUUUGGGAAUUUUUGUGAUCCUUAACAACGUGUGAGUAGUAUAGACUGAUACAUGGCAAUGCAAGAAUAGCAGUUUGAAUAUUUGACUCAUAACCAACACUUGAUAUUUUUAAAGAUCAUGGCCACGUUUCUUCAGCUAUCAAUUUAUGAAUAUUCCUAUCAAUCUUGAUGAAGAGGCAGUUCACGUAUGCUUGACCCAGUUUGGGUUUUCCUCCAGUGAAUGCUAGUCAAAGAAGUGAGGUUUUAGUCAACCAGUGUACGCGAAUGGAUAAAUUAAUUUAAUUUUUUUACAAAUGUGUCAUUGUGUGUGUACAUAUGAUGUUUACAUGAUGUUCUCACAAUGCAGUGAUGUUCUGUUGCCUUGUGGGAUACUGUGCAAUACUAUUCAUAGUCUAAAAUGCCAGCUCCAGGAACAGGUUGGAGGUCAUAUUGGCUUUCUUCUGGCCAGAGCACAGGCUGCUGGGAAGGUUGUCUUCUGGGGCAAUGGAUUCUGGGAAGGUUGUCUUUAGGGGCAGUGGAUUCUGGGAAGGUUUUCCAUCAGGCAAUGGAUUCUGGAAAGGCUGUCCAUCUAGUUUUGAGUUAUUAUUUUGAAACAGGGCUAUGGGGAAAUAUUGAUCAAAAACUUUUUCAGUAUAUUUCUAUUUAUAAGUCAUAUAGUUAGGGAUGGAUGGCUUUUUAAUUCCCUUUCUGAUAUAUGGAUGCUUUGAAAAAUGGUCAGUUGCAUUUAGAAUCUUAUGAAUGAGAAUAGUGAUUUCGACUUUCCUCCCAGAAUUUCUCCACUGAUAUUUGAUCCAAUUGCUGCUAAUGGCUUGAAAUUCUCAGUGCCACCUUUGCAAACAUAUUUGGUUGAUUGAGUGUGUCUGUACUCCAUGUCUGAGUGGGCAGGUAUGUCUCUCCCUGUAACUGGGGCUGAUAGUUUGGGCUGUGCAGUCUUAUCUGUAUAGCAACUCUGGUCACUGAUUAGUGACAACCUGUAGAUAUGCGUUAUAUUUAAAAAUUGCUUACUUAUUAAUAUAUAUCUUUGUUGGUCAUUUGAUAAGUGUGCUUCUGUAGCAAGUGCUUCAGGUAGAUGAUGAGAAUAGCUGUAGCAAAUCUGAAGGUGUAUGCUUCAUGAGGUGUCCUGAUGGACUUGGUUAACGGGUUAACAUUACAGUUUUCAUAGUUAACUCUUCUUUUUAAUGACUUUGCAAACUCAGGAAAUGUGCAGUGCUGCAAAUAUUUAGGAAUAGUGACUAUAUAGUUCAGUAUCACACUGGCAUUAUCUUGCCGUAUUGCACCAGUGAGGACUAGACAGAUUACUGCUUUGUUAUUAUCAUGGGAUUAUCGGAUGAACUGGUUAUAUUGGACAUUCAGGUCAGAAUGGUUACAUUGUUUUGUUUAAUUAAAUGUUUUGGUUUCUUUUCUUUUCUUUUCUUUCUUUCUUUUUUUCAAUUUUUUUUCAGUGUUUAAUAAUUUAGCUUUAUGGUUUUUUUAACAGAUUUCACUAGGUCAACAAUUCUGUUAAGACUCAUUUUCCUGCAUUUAGUACAUUAUUGUCUCUUGGCAAUUUUGUAUGAGGAAUCUCAAACUAGUUACCCAUUGUCAAGUGCUUUUGAUUUGUUUUAAAAUCAAUACAUUUGGUUGGUCAAAUUUCAGCUCAUUGUAAGUUUCAAAUUUCAUUGUUUCUUUUUGGGGGAGGUUAUCUAUCAUAAUUGUCAGAGUGUCUCUUGUCAUAUCAACGUCGUCAUCCACCAGAUUCGCUUUGUAUGUUCUAUCGGAUACACCCAACCAUUUCAUUUGUACGACAUACACCUUCAGAUUUGAUAGUUUGUAUGUAUACUUUCACCAUUGGUAUAUGAAGGAGCUACAGUGGGGAAGGAGCCACCUUUACAGUGCUGUUUACUUGAUUCAUUACUAUGUUCCUUAUGAAAGCCCUCUGCGACCGGAAUCAAACAAUCAGCUUUGUAUUACUGUAGUACCAACUGCUCAUAUGUCAUGUGAUAAAAUCAUUCUCAGUUGACAGUAAUGGCAUUUAAAGGACUUUUUUCAGGCUUUAAAUUGUUGACUGUGUCAGUUUAAUUUUAAGACCUAACUUGGUAUUCCAUUGUUUAACAUUUUGAUGAAAAUGUUUUUAAAAUUUUAUUCUCUGGAGAUGUUGAUGGAUAAAUCAAAACUCAAGCCUGUCAAGAAACCGACAAUAAAACUAUUAUUCAUGAUUUUUUUUUUAACAACCAAAACAUUUUGUUUAAUUCUGGGAUCUACUUUUGAAAAGUUGAAAACUUUUCCAAAGUGUCAGAUUACACCUGGAACAAAUGUUUGGAAGUAUGAGCUCAAUUACCAGAUCAUUUUUUAAAUUUAACCCUGAGAAAAAGACAGUGGUUUUAGUGAAGGUAUUGAUUGAAUAAUCUGAAAUAUUUAAAUCCGAAUUAUAUUCCUACUUUCUAAAAAUCACUGUUAAAAGCUUUUUGUGAAGUAAAACAGAUAAUUAGAAAUAGUCCUCACAGAUUGGAUAUCUUCCAGGUUCUAAGAACAGUUUUAGGUAAUAUGGGCAUGGCUUGGUUUUGAUUUUGAAAUAUCACUGGCUCUGUUAAUUUUAGUUCAUCAUUUUAUACUUUUACGACAAUUAUUUUAACCACCUUUAUUUCCAUAAUAAAAUGUUGAUACUCAUUUUAAGUUUUAAACAUCUCCAUAAGAUGGUUCUGUGACAGAUUGAAGAUGAUAGCGCUAAAUGUUUCACACUACUAAAUAAUCCAUUUCUUAUUGUCAAAUGUACUUGAAUCUACACUCUUAAUAUUGUUCGAACCAACACUUGAAAGUUCAUAGAAUGAACAUAGAAAUGACCAUGCCAAAGUGUAAGAAUUAACCAUUUGAUGACAAAUAUCCUAGGCUGGACUAGAGUUGUGGUACUGUGUUGUUGAAAGGGUUAAGCUGUGUAUAGUGUUGUAUUUAUUUGCAGCUUGCUGCUAGAUAGACUGACUGGGAGGGAGUGUGGUAGUAGUAGUAGUAGUGAGAGAGUGUUGACGAGUGAGUGAGUGAGUCAGUUGGAGAAGGUGUGUUUGAGAUGGAUGAUGACUCAUUUUGUCCCAGCACAGCACAAUGUCCUGGAAGUUUUUACAGCCGAAUGUUUUGUACAUCUAUAACAUAACUCCUCAUACGUCAUAUUUACUGGGAAAUGUGAUUCAACCCAGCUCACUGUAAUCUGUAUAAUUGUUAAAGAUUUAGGUGUAUAAUAUCAUUGAAUAAGAAUUCCUUUUUUUUUCAUUCUUGUGUAUAUGUUAAUCUAUGGUCGGACUAUAUUUGACAGAUUGCAGGAAGCAAUUUAUGGGGUGGUGGAAUCAAUCACUGGAAAUACUUUAAAAUUUAGAUGUCAGAGUUGAUAUAGAACAUAUUGUGUUGAAACCAUUGGGGAAGAAAAAAUAUUUUCAACAGUCUCAACAUUGCUAUUUUCAUUUUUCUACUUUUUAAUUCUUAGGCUUGACUGUAAAACAAACAAAAUUGGUCUGACGGUGAAAGAGUUUGUGACUGGAACUAGGUGAGUGUUGUGACAGGUGCUGUGCUGUGGAUACUGUGAAUGUGAUGCUGAGCAAAUUGUACAUACAUCCCAGCGUCUGUAUGUUCGCGUGCAUGUACUGCGUCCAGCGUCCCUGUCUAUCUGUUGUGGGUCCACAGUCUAGAUGUCUACGGUUGUCUCUGUGGCUCGAAGGUAUUAAUUUUAUGUAAUAAAACAGUCACGCAAAGCCUUA